AUACGGAGGGUGCAAGCGUUGUUCGGAAUCACGGGGCGUAAAGGGCGCGCAGGCGGUUUGGUAAGUCAGAUGUGAAAGCCCACGGCUCAACCGUGGAAGUGCAUUUGAAACUGUCAGACUUGAGUACUAGAGGGGAAAGUGGAAUUCCCGGUGUAGAGGUGAAAUUCGUAGAUAUCGGGAGGAGUACCGGUGGCGAAGGCGACUUUCUGGCUGAAUACUGACGCUGAGGCGCGAAAGCGUGGGGAGCAAACAGGAUUAGAAACCCCAGUAGUCC
RNAcentral lists this ribosomal RNA (274 nucleotides) under uncultured bacterium. Its description in RNAcentral is "partial 16S ribosomal RNA". It matches the Rfam family "Bacterial small subunit ribosomal RNA", at positions 523 to 796 of the family's 1533-position model. The record is from RNAcentral.